AGAGGACCAGAUUGAAGAAGCAGGCAAAAACUACUAAACAAGAAUGGCUUGUCAAACAGACUGUAGCUAAUGCAGAUAAACAGGAAAGCCUACCAGUACAACCAGAUUUUAACAAGGAGAAUGAGAACAUUUCUUCUAUGGCUAUUGUUCAAUAGAAUGCACCACCAGGCCCUGACAUCCAGGAAAGGCUUGAGGCAGUAGUCAAUGCACCCAAUGGUAACCGAGAAGUCAUGGUUGAUAACUGCAAUAAAGGAAAGGCUACUAUUGUUAUAGUAGAUGUUUGUAGAAGGGGUCAACAGAUUGAUCCGGGGCCUUCUAAGAGAUUAUCC
RNAcentral lists this long non-coding RNA (329 nucleotides) under Nicotiana benthamiana. RNAcentral's name for it is "long non-coding RNA (NBEN_LNC034200)". Lineage: Eukaryota; Viridiplantae; Streptophyta; Magnoliopsida; Solanales; Solanaceae. The record is from RNAcentral.